Molecule: ribosomal RNA, 253 nt
Filed under: uncultured bacterium
Lineage: Bacteria
Description: partial 16S ribosomal RNA
Rfam family: Bacterial small subunit ribosomal RNA
Source: RNAcentral
UACAGAGGCCCCGAGCGUUGUUCGGAUUCACUGGGCGUAAAGGGUGCGUAGGUGGUGAGGUAAGUCGGAUGUGAAAGCUCCAAGCUCAACUUGGAAAUGGCAUUGGAAACUACCUUGCUAGAGGGUUUGAGGGGGGACUGGAAUACUUGGUGUAGCAGUGAAAUGCGUAGAUAUCAAGUGGAACACCAGUGGCGAAGGCGAGUCCCUGGAAAACUCCUGACACUGAGGCACGAAAGCUAGGGGAGCAAACAUG